RNAcentral lists this ribosomal RNA (247 nucleotides) under uncultured bacterium. RNAcentral's name for it is "partial 16S ribosomal RNA". It matches the Rfam family "Bacterial small subunit ribosomal RNA", at positions 523 to 769 of the family's 1533-position model. The record is from RNAcentral.
AUACGGAGGAUGCAAGCGUUAUCCGGAUUCAUUGGGUUUAAAGGGUGCGUAGGCGGCUUUUUAAGUCAGUGGUGAAAUCCUGCCGCUUAACGGUAGAAUUGCCAUUGAUACUGUCGGGCUUGAGUGCAGUUGAGGCAGGCGGAAUGUGUAGUGUAGCGGUGAAAUGCAUAGAUAUUACACAGAACUCCGAUUGCGAAGGCAGCUUGCUAAAGUGCAACUGACGCUGAUGUACGAAAGCGUGGGUAGC